CAUGCAAGUCGAACGGCAGCAUGAUCUAGCUUGCUAGAUUGAUGGCGAGUGGCGAACGGGUGAGUAAUACAUCGGAACGUGCCCUGUAGUGGGGGAUAACUAGUCGAAAGAUUAGCUAAUACCGCAUACGACCUGAGGGUGAAAGUGGGGGACCGCAAGGCCUCAUGCUAUAGGAGCGGCCGAUGUCUGAUUAGCUAGUUGGUGAGGUAAAGGCUCACCAAGGCGACGAUCAGUAGCUGGUCUGAGAGGACGAUCAGCCACACUGGGACUGAGACACGGCCCAGACUCCUACGGGAGGCAGCAGUGGGGAAUUUUGGACAAUGGGCGAAAGCCUGAUCCAGCAAUGCCGCGUGUGUGAAGAAGGCCUUCGGGUUGUAAAGCACUUUUGUCCGGAAAGAAAUGGCUCUGGUUAAUACCUGGGGUCGAUGACGGUACCGGAAGAAUAAGGACCGGCUAACUACGUGCCAGCAGCCGCGGUAAUACGUAGGGUCCAAGCGUUAAUCGGAAUUACUGGGCGUAAAGCGUGCGCAGGCGGUUGUGCAAGACCGAUGUGAAAUCCCCGAGCUUAACUUGGGAAUUGCAUUGGUGACUGCACGGCUAGAGUGUGUCAGAGGGGGGUAGAAUUCCACGUGUAGCAGUGAAAUGCGUAGAGAUGUGGAGGAAUACCGAUGGCGAAGG
RNAcentral lists this ribosomal RNA (678 nucleotides) under uncultured beta proteobacterium. RNAcentral's name for it is "bacterial SSU rRNA". It matches the Rfam family "Bacterial small subunit ribosomal RNA", at positions 54 to 721 of the family's 1533-position model. Lineage: Bacteria; Pseudomonadati; Pseudomonadota; Betaproteobacteria. The record is from RNAcentral.